RNAcentral lists this ribosomal RNA (203 nucleotides) under uncultured bacterium. RNAcentral describes it as "partial 16S ribosomal RNA". It matches the Rfam family "Bacterial small subunit ribosomal RNA", at positions 1298 to 1500 of the family's 1533-position model. The record is from RNAcentral.
UUGAAGGCUGAAAUUCGCCUUCAUGAAGCUGGAAUUGCUAGUAAUGGCAGGUCAGCAUACUGCCGUGAAUACGUUCCCGGGCCUUGUACACACCGCCCGUCACACCAUGGGAGUUGGAAAUACCCGAAGCCUGUGAGCUAACAGUAAUGAGGCAGCAGUCGAAGGUAGAGCCAAUGAUUGGGGUGAAGUCGUAACAAGGUACC